UACGUAGGGGGCUAGCGUUGUCCGGAAUCAUUGGGCGUAAAGAGCGUGUAGGCGGCCCGGUAAGUCCGCUGUGAAAGUCGGGGGCUCAACCCUCGAAAGCCGGUGGAUACUGUCGGGCUAGAGUGCGGAAGAGGCGAGUGGAAUUCCUGGUGUUGCGGUGAAAUGCGCAGAUAUCAGGGGGAACACCGAUGGCGAAGGCAGCUCGCUGGGACGGUACUGACGCUGAGGCGCGAAAGCGUGGGGAGCAAACAGG
This 253-nucleotide ribosomal RNA is filed under the name uncultured bacterium. RNAcentral's name for it is "partial 16S ribosomal RNA". It matches the Rfam family "Bacterial small subunit ribosomal RNA", at positions 524 to 776 of the family's 1533-position model. The record is from RNAcentral.